CGUCUAUAUACGUAUAGCAUAUCAAUAAGCGGAGGAAAAGAAACUAACAAGGAUUCCCUUAGUAACGGCGAGUGAAGCGGGAAGAGCUCAAAUUUGAAAUCUUCAAGGUUUACCUUGACGAAUUGUAGUUUAAAGAAGUGUUUUCUGUUAGAGAGUUUGUAAAAGUUCUUGGAAUAGGACAUCAUAGAGGGUGAGAAUCCCGUAUUUGACCUAUUAUUUUCUAGCUUUGUGAUACACUUUCAAAGAGUCGGAUUGUUUGGGAAUGCAGUCCAAAAUGGGUGGUAAAUUUCAUCUAAAGCUAAAUAUUGGCGAGAGACCGAUAGCGAACAAGCACCGUGAGGGAAAGAUGAAAAGAACUUUGAAAAGAGAGUUAAACAGUACGUGAAAUUGUCAAAAGGGAAGCGUUUGACACCAGUGUUGUUUUUCCGAAAAUCAAUUAAGAGUGGCUUGAUUUUGUGUUGUAUUGACCUUAUCAGCUUUCUUCACUCUUUUUCGAGUCUUUCUUAAUGCACUUUUCGGUUAACAAGUCAACAUCAAUUUCUUUUGUUGUAAAAGGGUAUUUGGAAGGUGGCUUUCUUUUCGGAGAAAGUGUUUAUAGCCUUAUACCUCUACAAUCGGAGAGAUUGAGGUCUGCAGCGUAGAUCCUUCGGGGCUAGAUACACUUGUGCUAAGUUAUAGCUUUUCAUAGACAACUUGUUGACUAUGUUUAGUCAUGUAGCUUACCCGCUUGUGCUAUUUUACCUACGCUUAGGAUGUUGAGUCAUCACACAUCUCU
RNAcentral lists this ribosomal RNA (775 nucleotides) under uncultured Neocallimastigales. RNAcentral's name for it is "partial large subunit ribosomal RNA". It matches the Rfam family "Eukaryotic large subunit ribosomal RNA", at positions 26 to 618 of the family's 3401-position model. Lineage: Eukaryota; Fungi; Neocallimastigomycota; Neocallimastigomycetes; Neocallimastigales. The record is from RNAcentral.